Molecule: long non-coding RNA, 571 nt
Organism: Sinocyclocheilus grahami
Lineage: Eukaryota; Metazoa; Chordata; Actinopteri; Cypriniformes; Cyprinidae
Exons: 2
Source: RefSeq, a predicted model, not a curated record
GUUUAUUAAAUGAAAUCCAUAUUUGACAUACAUAUUCGUUGAACUUCUGAGGUUUACAGUUUUAUCAUCAGUUCACCAGUAGUCUUAGCCAAACUAUUUUGCAUUUUCUUUAAUGUAAGAGUUGGUUUAGACAACAAAAGUGGUACAAAACUACAUAAAGUACUUCCUGCGUGAAGAGACUGGAGAUAGAGAUAGAAAAGAAAUUGGGCCUACCCUGCCUAAACAUUUAAAAACACACCAGAAAAUCUGCAAAGCAGUCAUUUUGCCGCUUCGCCAGCAUCAGGUUUAAAUAUGUGCCAUGGAGGUCGUUGUUGGCAUAACUAAAUGUGAUAAUGAGCAGUGAAAAUGACAUGAAAUGUGACAUUUCCUGACACUUAUAUCAGCGACCGCUGACUUCCCAUUCGCUCAAAACAUUGUUCAUGUUAUGGUUUAAUUACAGCAUGCUAUUUCCAUACAAUCCUAAAUCAUGUUCUUGUAUUGGGACAACACCACAUCAUCACCGUUACUUCAUUCUCAGAGUAAUGCGCAAUCGUAACAGUUCUGGAGAAGAAACACCAAGCAAAAAAAAAAA